GACCACGACGUAGAUGUGGACGAGACCGACCGUGAAGGCGAGGAGACAGGAUAAGAGGUAUAAGAUGGAGGCAGGGUCGAAGUCUUCCGGAGUCCAGAGAAGGAAUCCGGCGGCGCCGAUGCAGACGGCGGAGAAAAAGAGGGGGUUUAGGCUGGGGCGGGGAGCGGCGAUGCGGACUACUUCAGCCAUGAGUUUGGUUCGCAGAGGAAGACGCAGGCCUCUUCAAUUUAUGGGAGUUCGGAUCCUCUCCGGUGCAAAACCCAAAAUCGCGCCGUAGGGUAUUUCCAGGUUUUUUUU
Molecule: long non-coding RNA, 297 nt
Filed under: Elaeis guineensis (African oil palm)
Lineage: Eukaryota; Viridiplantae; Streptophyta; Magnoliopsida; Arecales; Arecaceae
Description: long non-coding RNA (EGUI_LNC007871)
Source: RNAcentral